GCAGUGGUGGUUUGGUGGUAGAAUUCUCACCUUCCAUGCAGGAGACCCAGGUUUGACUUCUGGCCAAUGUA
This 71-nucleotide transfer RNA is filed under the name Loxodonta africana (African savanna elephant). It matches the Rfam family "tRNA". Rfam says of the family: Transfer RNA (tRNA) molecules are approximately 80 nucleotides in length. Lineage: Eukaryota; Metazoa; Chordata; Mammalia; Proboscidea; Elephantidae. The record is from Rfam by way of RNAcentral.